Non-coding RNA from Rattus norvegicus (Norway rat), 377 nucleotides. The record is from RefSeq and is a predicted model, not a curated record. NCBI's taxonomy places the organism in Eukaryota, Metazoa, Chordata, Mammalia, Rodentia, Muridae.
CACUCUUGAGCCACAGGGGCUUUCUGAUCUUUCUCAUCUUCCAGGACGGUCACCCUGGCUGCUGCAUGCACAGGAGGAAGGCUGGGACAGGGGCCUAGGAGGCUGCUUUCCUACUCCUGUUGGGGGUGAUGAUGGCCUAACAAGCUACAGAUGCUGUUCCUAGGUAAGGAGGUUGAAGCAAUGGCAGAGGACCCAGGUUCAGUUCCUAGCAUACACGUGGAGGCUCAAAGUCAUCUGUAACUCUGGUUUCAGAGCAUCGGACGCCCUCUUCUGGUCUUUAUGGGCAUGAAUGUGAUGUACAUAUAUACACAUGUAGGCAAAUUAAACAAAAAAGAUUCCCAUCUAAAUCACAAAAUAAACUUCCCAAACAUUUAAAA